GAUGAACGCUGGCGGCGUGCCUAACUCAUGCAAGUCGAGCGAUUUACUUCGGUAAAGAGCGGCGGACGGGUGAGUAACGCGUGGGUAACCUGCCCUGUACGCACGGAUAACAUACCGAAAGGUAUGCUAAUACGAGAUAAUAUGCUUUUAUCGCAUGGUAGAAGUAUCAAAGCUCCGGCGGUACAGGAUGGACCCGCGUCUGAUUAGCUAGUUGGUAAGGUAACGGCUUACCAAAGCGACGAUCAGUAGCCGACCUGAGAGGGUGAUCGGCCACAUUGGAACUGAGACACGGUCCAAACUCCUACGGGAGGCAGCAGUGGGGAAUAUUGCACAAUGGGCGAAAGCCUGAUGCAGCAACGCCGCGUGAGCGAUGAAGGCCUUCGGGUCGUAAAGCUCUGUCCUCAAGGAAGAUAAUGACGGUACUUGAGGAGGAAGCCCCGGCUAACUACGUGCCAGCAGCCGCCGCGG
RNAcentral lists this ribosomal RNA (468 nucleotides) under uncultured bacterium. RNAcentral describes it as "partial 16S ribosomal RNA". It matches the Rfam family "Bacterial small subunit ribosomal RNA", at positions 28 to 523 of the family's 1533-position model. The record is from RNAcentral.